AGUUUGAUCCUGGCUCAGAUUGAACGCUGGCGGCGUGCCUAACACAUGCAAGUCGAGCGGUAACAGGCGUAGCAAUACGUGCUGACGAGCGGCGAACGGGUGAGUAAUGCUUCGGAAUCUGCCCAGUAGUGGGGAAUAACCAUCCGAAAGGAUGGCUAAUACCGCAUACGUCCUACGGGAGAAAGCGGGGGAUCGUAAGACCUCGCGCUAUUGGAUGAGCCGAAGCCGGAUUAGCUAGUUGGUAGGGUAACGGCCUACCAAGGCGACGAUCCGUAGCUGGUCUGAGAGGACGACCAGCCACACUGGGACUGAGACACGGCCCAGACUCCUACGGGAGGCAGCAGUGGGGAAUAUUGCACAAUGGGCGCAAGCCUGAUGCAGCGACGCCGCGUGAGGGAUGACGGCCUUCGGGUUGUAAACCUCUUUCAGUAGGGAAGAAGCGUAAGUGACGGUACCUGCAGAAGAAGCGCCGGCUAACUACGUGCCAGCAGCCGCGGUAAUACGUAGGGCGCAAGCGUUAUCCGGAAUUAUUGGGCGUAAAGAGCUCGUAGGCGGUUUGUCGCGUCUGCUGUGAAAGACCGGGGCUCAACUCCGGUUCUGCAGUGGGUACGGGCAGACUAGAGUGAUGUAGGGGAGACUGGAAUUCCUGGUGUAGCGGUGAAAUGCGCAGAUAUCAGGAGGAACACCGAUGGCGAAGGCAGGUCUCUGGGCAUUAACUGACGCUGAGGAGCGAAAGCAUGGGGAGCGAACAGGAUUAGAUACCCUGGUAGUCCAUGCCGUAAACGUUGGGCACUAGGUGUGGGGGACAUUCCACGUUUUCCGCGCCGUAGCUAACGCAUUAAGUGCCCCGCCUGGGGAGUACGGCCGCAAGGCUAAAACUCAAAGGAAUUGACGG
This 895-nucleotide ribosomal RNA is filed under the name uncultured bacterium. Its description in RNAcentral is "bacterial SSU rRNA". It matches the Rfam family "Bacterial small subunit ribosomal RNA", at positions 10 to 916 of the family's 1533-position model. The record is from RNAcentral.